RNAcentral lists this ribosomal RNA (252 nucleotides) under uncultured bacterium. Its description in RNAcentral is "partial 16S ribosomal RNA". It matches the Rfam family "Bacterial small subunit ribosomal RNA", at positions 524 to 776 of the family's 1533-position model. The record is from RNAcentral.
UACGUAGGGACCAAGCGUUGUUCGGAUUUACUGGGCGUAAGGGCGCGUAGGCGGCAUGACAAGUCACUUGUGAAAUCUCCGGGCUUAACUCGGAACUGCCAAGUGAAACUGUCAAGCUAGAGUGCAGAAGGGGCAAUCGGAAUUCUUGGUGUAGCGGUGAAAUGCGUAGAUAUCAAGAGGAACACCUGAGGUGAAGACGGGUUGCUGGGCUGACACUGACGCUGAGGCGCGAAAGCCAGGGGAGCAAACGGG